GACGAACGCUGGCGGCGUGCUUAACACAUGCAAGUCGAACGCUGAAGCCCUUCGGGGUGGAUGAGUGGCGAACGGGUGAGUAACACGUGGGUAAUCUGCCCUGCACUCUGGGAUAAGCCUUGGAAACGGGGUCUAAUACCGGAUAGGACACAUCGCCGCAUGGUGUGUGUGUGGAAAGUUCCGGCGGUGCAGGUUGAGCCCGCGGCCUAUCAGCUUGUUGGUGGGGUGAUGGCCUACCAGGGCGACGACGGGUAGCCGGCCUGAGAGGGUGACCGGCCACACUGGGACUGAGACACGGCCCAGACUCCUACGGGAGGCAGCAGUGGGGAAUCUUGCGCAAUGGGCGAAAGCCUGACGCAGCAACGCCGCGUGGGGGAUGACGGCCUUCGGGUUGUAAACCUCUUUCGACCGGGACGAAGGAUUCGUUUGACGGUACCGGUAGAAGAAGCACCGGCUAACUACGUGCCAGCCGCCGCCGUAA
Molecule: ribosomal RNA, 481 nt
Filed under: uncultured bacterium
Lineage: Bacteria
Description: partial 16S ribosomal RNA
Rfam family: Bacterial small subunit ribosomal RNA
Source: RNAcentral